GCUCCUUUGGCGUCGAGCGGCGGACGGGUGAGUAAUGCUUGGGAAUGUGCCUUAUGGUGGGGGACAACAGUUGGAAACGACUGCUAAUACCGCAUAAUGUCUUCGGACCAAAGUGGGGGACCUUCGGGCCUCACGCCAUAAGAUCAGCCCAAGUGGGAUUAGCUAGUUGGUAAGGUAAUGGCUUACCAAGGCGACGAUCCCUAGCUGGUUUGAGAGGAUGAUCAGCCACACUGGGACUGAGACACGGCCCAGACUCCUACGGGAGGCAGCAGUGGGGAAUAUUGCACAAUGGGCGCAAGCCUGAUGCAGCCAUGCCGCGUGUGUGAAGAAGGCCUUCGGGUUGUAAAGCACUUUCAGUAAGGAGGAAAGGUUAAGUGUUAAUAGCACUUAGCUGUGACGUUACUUACAGAAGAAGCACCGGCUAACUCCGUGCCAGCAGCCGCGGUAAUACGGAGGGUGCGAGCGUUAAUCGGAAUUACUGGGCGUAAAGCGUACGCAGGCGGUUUGUUAAGCGAGAUGUGAAAGCCCCGGGCUCAACCUGGGAACUGCAUUUCGAACUGGCAAACUAGAGUGUGAUAGAGGGUGGUAGAAUUUCAGGUG
This 600-nucleotide ribosomal RNA is filed under the name Pseudoalteromonas arabiensis. RNAcentral describes it as "bacterial SSU rRNA". It matches the Rfam family "Bacterial small subunit ribosomal RNA", at positions 79 to 675 of the family's 1533-position model. Lineage: Bacteria; Pseudomonadati; Pseudomonadota; Gammaproteobacteria; Alteromonadales; Pseudoalteromonadaceae. The record is from RNAcentral.